GACGAACGCUGGCGGCGUGCUUAACACAUGCAAGUCGAACGGAAAGGCCCUGCUUUUGUGGGGUGCUCGAGUGGCGAACGGGUGAGUAACACGUGAGUAACCUGCCCUUGACUUUGGGAUAACUUCAGGAAACUGGGGCUAAUACCGGAUAGGAGCUCCUGCUGCAUGGUGGGGGUUGGAAAGUUUCGGCGGUUGGGGAUGGACUCGCGGCUUAUCAGCUUGUUGGUGGGGUAGUGGCUUACCAAGGCUUUGACGGGUAGCCGGCCUGAGAGGGUGACCGGACACAUUGGGACUGAGAUACGGCCCAGACUCCUACGGGAGGCAGCAGUGGGGAAGAUUGCACAAUGGGCGGAAGCCUGAUGCAGCAACGCCGCGUGCGGGAUGACGGCCUUCGGGUUGUAAACCGCUUUCGCCUGUGACGAAGCGUGAGUGACGGUAAUGGGUAAAGAAGCACCGGCUAACUACGUG
This 468-nucleotide ribosomal RNA is filed under the name uncultured bacterium. RNAcentral's name for it is "partial 16S ribosomal RNA". It matches the Rfam family "Bacterial small subunit ribosomal RNA", at positions 28 to 507 of the family's 1533-position model. The record is from RNAcentral.